This is a long non-coding RNA of Solanum dulcamara, 2031 nucleotides long. RefSeq lists it as uncharacterized. The record is from RefSeq and is a predicted model, not a curated record. The transcript is spliced from 3 exons. NCBI's taxonomy places the organism in Eukaryota, Viridiplantae, Streptophyta, Magnoliopsida, Solanales, Solanaceae.
AUCUAAAAAGAAAGACAUAAAAAAAACUAGAUUAAGGACAAAUAGAGAAAGGUCUAGAAAAUGUCGACCCCAUCGUCUUCCUCCAUCUACAUCCUCAGGAGACUUCUACCUUAGCUUUAAAUCAUUCAUUUUUGCUGAACCAUUUUUGAUGAUCUUGAGUGAAUUCCACAUAGAUACUUAACCUCUAACAAAUGACAUGGAAUUGACAUCGGUGAUGAUUUCUUUAGCUCAAGACGUAGGUUUUAGAUUCGAACCAAAAAACUUGAAACAUCGGGGUAAAAACUGCAUCUCAAAUCGGUGAAUCAGUCAAAUUCCACCAAACCCCCAUGGCUCCUUCCUUCUACACAGAAUGAGUUCGAAGAACUAAUACCAGCGUGAAGAGAUCCUUCUCUAAUAGGCUACUCAUGGGAGGGGAUUUCUAGCCACCUGGGACUGCAACCUCCUUGGUUUCUUACCCUGUAUCUCUUUUAAUUUGCCAAACCUGGUGUUGUACAUAAUCAGGUGGAAACCUCCCCUCCCCCGCUGUAAUAACUUAAAGUGGUUGUUGAUCCAUCCUAUUUGCCAUCUCCUUUGAAAUAGCUUAACAAUCAAGAGCAUCGGAUUUAUGCUCCUGAUCAACAAUAGUAGCUGCUUUCUGAUGCUCUUUAUUCUCUUUCUUACAAAAGGACUUUGAUAUCCACUCUUUUGUAGAUAUUUGUUGCUCAUUGCUCUCAUUUCUGCUUCCCAUCUUAAUAGUACUUUCCUUCUCAUUCCUUUCUACAUUUGUGAUUAUUGUAUUUGUCUUUCUCAGUUUUCUCACUUUCUCUUGUAACUACUAUACAACUUUGUUGUAGAAUUUCCUUGUCAUUAUUGUGAUAUGCUAAUACAUCAAAGGUAUUAGCCAUAGUAAUCCUUUCCUUCCCUCCAGCAACUUUGUUCGCACUCCCAAUUUGCCCAUUCUUAUUCACAGGGAACCUCCUACUAGUAGGAUUCCAUCUUUUGAAUUGAUUUUCCAUUCUAACUACAGGGUUUGCAUUAGAUUUAUCUUUCUCUCCUUCUUCUAUUUGCUUCCCUUUCCCAUCGACCUCCAUAUUAAUCCUUAGUUCUGGAUGUAACACUCUACAUUCUCAUUUAUCAUGACCUUGAAGGUUACAUUCUUUACAAAAUUUAGGAACCAUAUCAUUUGCACCUUCACUUUCUCAACUCUAGAGGUUCCUUCCUUCUCAUUUACACUUCUAAUUCUACAAAUUUAGAGAAAUCAGCCAGUAAAUACACCUGCACUUUUACCCUAGCACAACUAGGUCUAGUCUUGUUGAUCGUGGCUAAGUCUAGGUGCAAAUGUUUUCCAAUUGCAUAGGCUACUGAAAAUAUGGAUUCUUGAACAAAAUACAUAGGUUUCAAAUCCAAAAAAGAAAUCCAUGCCAUAGCUUGAAUAGUCUCCUCCUCUAUAUUAAACUUUUCAUCAUAUAUCAACAGCCUGAUCAGAUAUGAAAUCCAUCUUUAGUAAGAAUAUAGUAGCUUGGUUUUGACAUUACAUUAAUAAAAUCUUCUUGAAGAUUAAAUCUCAUUAAUAUAUGUCUAUUCCUCAAUAAACUAAUCUUACAAUCACCUUUUACAUUACAUUGCUUGGGUAUUUGAGUCCGAAGGUCAUCUAAUUCCGUCCAUCCAUAUGAGAAUUUACCAACCACCACAUAUUGUAAAUUCUUGAUGGUAUUCAUUCGAUCAACUUCUUUUUCUAUCCAUGUAACUCUGGGAAUUCCAUUGUUAUAUCAUAUCUUCUUUAUUGAAUGGGUUCAACAAGAGGCAUAGCAAGGAUUGGUGAUUUAUUUUCCUGAACAAUGUUUGCAUAUUGUUCCAUGACUUGUGAAUUACCAGUAUUAACGUUAGGCAAUUCAUUAGAACAUGAGGACAAAUUAGGCUUGAUGAGAGAGUUGGAACUAGUAGGCUUGUUAGGGUGACCAAGAAGAGGAAAUUAUGAGAGGUUUCUCUAGUCAAUCACAGAAAGUGGCUAACAGUGUCCGAUCCGGCCAUAAGUGGUGGUGAUGAUCAAAA